CUAUGCGCCUUGCCAGCCCGCUCAGUCAGAGUUUGAUCCUGGCUCAGAGCGAACGCUGGCGGCAGGCCUAACACAUGCAAGUCGAACGAACUCUUCGGAGUUAGUGGCGGACGGGUGAGUAACACGUGGGAACGUGCCUUUAGGUUCGGAAUAACUCAGGGAAACUUGUGCUAAUACCGAAUGUGCCCUUCGGGGGAAAGAUUUAUCGCCUUUAGAGCGGCCCGCGUCUGAUUAGCUAGUUGGUGAGGUAAAGGCUCACCAAGGCGACGAUCAGUAGCUGGUCUGAGAGGAUGAUCAGCCACAUUGGGACUGAGACACGGCCCAA
RNAcentral lists this ribosomal RNA (325 nucleotides) under uncultured bacterium. RNAcentral's name for it is "partial 16S ribosomal RNA". It matches the Rfam family "Bacterial small subunit ribosomal RNA", at positions 1 to 334 of the family's 1533-position model. The record is from RNAcentral.